Molecule: long non-coding RNA, 510 nt
Organism: Homo sapiens (human)
Lineage: Eukaryota; Metazoa; Chordata; Mammalia; Primates; Hominidae
Gene: NUTM2B-AS1
Product: NUTM2B antisense RNA 1
Source: Ensembl
GCAACGUGUUGGACCUUCCGGAGCUUCUCAGAAGACAGAGGGUUUUCUUUUGAGAUCCCUCCCGUAGCUGUCAUACAGAGUGCGAUUUAUGACUUGUAAGUUGUGCUAUGGAGCUUGACAAGUAAGUUUGAUUUCAUUUAAUAUUUUCUUUAAACCAUCUUAGAUCUUCUCUUUGACAAGUAUUUCAUCUGUUAGUGUUCUCAAAAUGUAAAAUGGGUAACUUAAUGAGAACAAAAAUUGUACCCUAAGACAUAUUUGCACUAUCUACAUAUUUGCAAUUAAAUCUUAACAGAUUUAAUUGUAAUAGAAUCUAAUGGUUUUCCUCUUGAAUUUUUUUAGACACCAGAAAUUUUCAUUACUAAUAAAUAAUGUUUAGCUUCCUAGUCACAAACCAAACAGAAAGCAAAUUUCAUCAGAGUUUAGAAUGGUUAAAACCAACAUAGCUGCAAUAUUUUUAGUUUUGCUUUAAAAUUUUUUGAAUCAAUCAGUAAAUCAAUCAGAGUUGACCAU